RNAcentral lists this non-coding RNA (29 nucleotides) under Cricetulus griseus (Chinese hamster). The record is from RNAcentral. Lineage: Eukaryota; Metazoa; Chordata; Mammalia; Rodentia; Cricetidae.
UGACACCAAAGAACCAUGUAAUGGAAGGG